UGUGCUAAGGUAGCAUAAUAAUUUGCUGUUUAAUUGGCAGCGAGCAUAAAAGAUCUGACGAAAGUCAAACUUUUUUUCUGUCCACUUAAAUUUAUAUAAAAAUAAAAAAGUUUUUAAGUACCAGGAGGACGACAAGACCCUAGAACCUUUACUAAUUAAUGCUUGGUUUAACUGGGGCGGUUUAUAGAUCACCUCUAGCUUCUUACACCACCUUGAGUGAGCCCUACUAACUUUUAAUAAUAAACAAAAAGGUACUCUAGGGAUAACAGCAUAAUUUUUAUUGAGAGUUCGUAUCAACAUAAAAGAUUAUGACCUCGAUGUUGAAUUGGUGCAUCUUUAUUAGGCAA
This 347-nucleotide ribosomal RNA is filed under the name Platyarthrus hoffmannseggii. RNAcentral's name for it is "16S ribosomal RNA". It matches the Rfam family "Bacterial large subunit ribosomal RNA", at positions 1947 to 2558 of the family's 2925-position model. Lineage: Eukaryota; Metazoa; Arthropoda; Malacostraca; Isopoda; Platyarthridae. The record is from RNAcentral.